GGAGGAGCGGGACCAGAUUGUUCCAGAGGCUGUUAAAGUGGCUCUGGGACCAAACCCAGACCUUGGUCCUGGCACUCCAGGUUAUCUGCAGCGAGCAGAGGCUGAGGUGCCGACCCGCCAACCAGACUGGGACCCCAGCACCUAUGCAGGAUGUGCCCCUGGAGGACCCUGAGGAGACAAUCUUCACGGAUGGGAACAGCUUCUUCAAACAAGGAGUCAGCCCUCCAGGUAAUCCAACAGAAACUGUGGAAUCUGGUUUGGGAGGCCAGGCCAGGCCAGCCCCUCAACCUGAUGUCAGCCACCAUAAAUUUCAGCCUGGAGAUCUAGUGCUGAUAAAGAGACAUUCAUCUAAGGCUCUGGAGCCACAUUGGGAGGGACCUUUCCAGGUGAUUUUAAUGCCAUCUGCCAUAAAGGUCACAGAAAAAACACCAUGGCUACAUCACUGCCACAUCAAAGCGGCUCCUGAGGACACCCUGGAGGACAAAUGGGGGAUCAUCAGUCAAUGAGGCAACAAAAAGUUAAGACUGGGACAUGUUGGAAAUACAUCCCCUUCUUGUUAAUAUUUUCUAAAACAUUGACAAUAUUACCCCCAAAACAAUUGGACCAUACUGGUAAUGUUUGUAUUCAACUGACACAAUCACUUAAUUUGUCUGAGUCCUGUUUAAAUGUAGAUAUAAAUUUACGUUAUGUAUUAGGGAGCUGUCUCGUCCCAGUGUGCACUCCCUUGAGUCUGAUACAACCUUAUACUCUGUUUAAAGACAUCCCAGGAAAAAAUCUUACGUAUAAAGAUAGUUACAACUGGGGGACCCCCUCUUAUUCUAAACCAAAAAAUGCUAUUAAGUUAUAUAUGCCUCAGAUGAUUAUGUUAAACAAUACACAAUGUGCUAUAUAUAAAAAUUGUACUACAAAAUGUCUAAGAUUAAAAAAGUUAAAAAAUGACCUGUUAUGAGAAACAAAAAAUCAUAUACAGUGAUGGUCAUGUGCCUUCACCAUCAGGAUGGUUUUAUACAUGUGAAGGAGUAACGUUUAAUUAUAUCCCUGCCUACUUGUCUGAGACUUGGUGCUGCCUAAGUCACUUGGCCAUAAUAUUGCCAGAUCGAACUGAUUUGAUAGUGCCAAAAGAAUUAAACGUUGGUUACCCUAUACUGAACCAGGAUGUGAUGAUGAUGUAGGUCUCUUGACAGAUGCUCAAGUGAUACCUAUGAUAAUAUCUGUGCUUGCUCAGCCAGCCAUAAAAAUUCAUAAAGAAAAUACAUAAUAAAAAAUUAGGAUGGGAUUUGUUUCAAUGGUUAAUUCAAUGGUUGCCUAAUAUACAAUGGUUAAAACAGCUUUUUCUUGU
This 1339-nucleotide long non-coding RNA is filed under the name Heterocephalus glaber (naked mole-rat). Its description in RNAcentral is "lncRNA (ENSHGLG00000036991.1)". Lineage: Eukaryota; Metazoa; Chordata; Mammalia; Rodentia; Bathyergidae. The record is from RNAcentral.